RNAcentral lists this ribosomal RNA (253 nucleotides) under uncultured bacterium. RNAcentral describes it as "partial 16S ribosomal RNA". It matches the Rfam family "Bacterial small subunit ribosomal RNA", at positions 524 to 776 of the family's 1533-position model. The record is from RNAcentral.
UACGUAGGGUCCGAGCGUUGUCCGGAAUUAUUGGGCGUAAAGGGCUCGUAGGCGGUCUGUUGCGUCAGGAGUGAAAACUCGGGGCUUAACCCCGAGCCUGCUUCUGAUACGGGCAGACUAGAGGUAUGCAGGGGAGAACGGAAUUCCUGGUGUAGCGGUGAAAUGCGCAGAUAUCAGGAGGAACACCGGUGGCGAAGGCGGUUCUCUGGGCCGAUACUGACGCUGAGGAGCGAAAGCGUGGGGAGCGAACAGG